This 819-nucleotide ribosomal RNA is filed under the name Bacteroides sp. HGBC18. RNAcentral describes it as "bacterial SSU rRNA". It matches the Rfam family "Bacterial small subunit ribosomal RNA", at positions 60 to 871 of the family's 1533-position model. The record is from RNAcentral. Lineage: Bacteria; Pseudomonadati; Bacteroidota; Bacteroidia; Bacteroidales; Bacteroidaceae.
AGUCGAGGGGCAGCAUGGUCUUAGCUUGCUAAGGCCGAUGGCGACCGGCGCACGGGUGAGUAACACGUAUCCAACCUGCCGUCUACUCUUGGACAGCCUUCUGAAAGGAAGAUUAAUACAAGAUGGCAUCAUGAGUCCGCAUGUUCACAUGAUUAAAGGUAUUCCGGUAGACGAUGGGGAUGCGUUCCAUUAGAUAGUAGGCGGGGUAACGGCCCACCUAGUCUUCGAUGGAUAGGGGUUCUGAGAGGAAGGUCCCCCACAUUGGAACUGAGACACGGUCCAAACUCCUACGGGAGGCAGCAGUGAGGAAUAUUGGUCAAUGGGCGAGAGCCUGAACCAGCCAAGUAGCGUGAAGGAUGACUGCCCUAUGGGUUGUAAACUUCUUUUAUAAAGGAAUAAAGUCGGGUAUGGAUACCCGUUUGCAUGUACUUUAUGAAUAAGGAUCGGCUAACUCCGUGCCAGCAGCCGCGGUAAUACGGAGGAUCCGAGCGUUAUCCGGAUUUAUUGGGUUUAAAGGGAGCGUAGAUGGAUGUUUAAGUCAGUUGUGAAAGUUUGCGGCUCAACCGUAAAAUUGCAGUUGAUACUGGAUAUCUUGAGUGCAGUUGAGGCAGGCGGAAUUCGUGGUGUAGCGGUGAAAUGCUUAGAUAUCACGAAGAACUCCGAUUGCGAAGGCAGCCUGCUAAGCUGCAACUGACAUUGAGGCUCGAAAGUGUGGGUAUCAAACAGGAUUAGAUACCCUGGUAGUCCACACGGUAAACGAUGAAUACUCGCUGUUUGCGAUAUACUGCAAGCGGCCAAGCGAAAGCGUUAAGUAUUCCA